GAGGACGUGUCGGAAUUGGCAGACGAGCAUGACUUAGGAUCAUGUGCCUUAAUAGGCGUGUGGGUUCGACUCCCACCGUCCCCA
RNAcentral lists this transfer RNA (84 nucleotides) under Anaerolineales bacterium. RNAcentral's name for it is "tRNA-Leu". It matches the Rfam family "tRNA". Rfam says of the family: Transfer RNA (tRNA) molecules are approximately 80 nucleotides in length. Their secondary structure includes four short double-helical elements and three loops (D, anti-codon, and T loops). Lineage: Bacteria; Bacillati; Chloroflexota; Anaerolineae; Anaerolineales. The record is from RNAcentral.